Molecule: RNA transcript, 806 nt
Organism: Mus pahari (shrew mouse)
Lineage: Eukaryota; Metazoa; Chordata; Mammalia; Rodentia; Muridae
Gene name: spliceosome-associated protein CWC15 homolog pseudogene
Exons: 1
Source: RefSeq, a predicted model, not a curated record
CUGGGAGUUAAGGGUCGCAAUGGUUCCUGAGUGAGCUUUUGGAAGGUGCUGCAUCGGACCCCAGACAGAACUAAAAGAUGACAACAGCAGCCAGGCCAACUUUUGAACCUGCAAGAGGUGGGAGAGGAAAAGGAGAAGGGGAUUUGAGCCAGCUCUCCCAGCAGUAUUCAAGCAGAGACCUUCCCUCUCAUACAAAGAUAAAGUACGGAAAAACCACACAGGAUGCCCCUGAAGAGGGUCGCAACGGUGACUUCAGGAGAGAGCUGGAAGAGAGAGAGAGAGCUGCUGCAAGGGACAAAAACAGGGACCGCCCAAUUCGAGAGCAUACAACUUCCUCUUCAGUGUCAAAGAAGCCCCGCUUAGACCAGAUUCCUGCUGCCAACCUUAAUGCUGACGAUCCUCUCACAGAUGAGGAAGAUGAGGAUUUUGAAGAGGAGAGCGAUGACGAUGAUACUGCAGCUCUUCUGGCAGAGCUAGAAAAGAUCAAGAAGGAAAGGGUUGAAGAGCAGGCCAGGAAGGAACAAGAACGAAAAGCAGAGGAAGAGAGAAUUCACAUGGAGAACAUUCUGAGUGGAAACCCUCUCCUAAAUCUCACUGGCCCAUCCCAGCCUCAGGCCAACUUCAAGGUUAGAAGAAGAUGGGACGAUGAUGUCGUUUUUUUAAAGAACUGUGCCAAAGGUAUAGAUGAUCAGAAGACAGACAAACAAUUUGUAAACGAUACACUGCGAUCUGAAUUUCACAAAAAGUUCAUGGAGAAAUAUAUUAAGUAGUAUAGUUUUAUGUGCUUAAUUAAAAACUAAAGUGUU